This 625-nucleotide ribosomal RNA is filed under the name uncultured Megasphaera sp. RNAcentral describes it as "bacterial SSU rRNA". It matches the Rfam family "Bacterial small subunit ribosomal RNA", at positions 896 to 1533 of the family's 1533-position model. Lineage: Bacteria; Bacillati; Bacillota; Negativicutes; Veillonellales; Veillonellaceae. The record is from RNAcentral.
GAAAUUCAAAGGAAUUGACGGGGCCCGCACAAGCGGUGGAGUAUGUGUUUAAUUGGACGCAAACGCGAAGAACCUUACCAAGCCUUGACAUUGAUCGCAAGGAGUAGAGAUAUUCUGUUCUUCUUCGGAAGACGAGAAAACAGGUGGUGCACGGCUGUCGUCAGCUCGUGUCGUGAGAUGUUGGGUUAAGUCCCGCAACGAGCGCAACCCCUAUCUUCUGUUACCAGCACGUAAGGGUGGGGACUCAGGAGAGACUGCCGCAGACAAUGCGGAGGAAGGCGGGGAUGACGUCAAGUCAUCAUGCCCCUUAUGGCUUGGGCUACACACGUACUACAAUGGCUCUUAAUAGAGGGAGGCGAAGGAGCGAUCCGGAGCAAACCCCAAAAACAGAGUCUCAGUUCGGAUUGUAGGCUGCAACUCGCCUACAUGAAGCAGGAAUCGCUAGUAAUCGCAGGUCAGCAUACUGCGGUGAAUACGUUCCCGGGCCUUGUACACACCGCCCGUCACACCACGAAAGUCAUUCACACCCGAAGCCGGUGAGGUAACCGCAAGGAGCCAGCCGUCGAAGGUGGGGGCGAUGAUUGGGGUGAAGUCGUAACAAGGUAACAAUCGAAUUCCCGCGGCC